This 202-nucleotide ribosomal RNA is filed under the name Gonyaulax spinifera. Its description in RNAcentral is "partial Bacterial large subunit ribosomal RNA". It matches the Rfam family "Bacterial large subunit ribosomal RNA", at positions 419 to 625 of the family's 2925-position model. The record is from RNAcentral. Lineage: Eukaryota; Dinophyceae; Gonyaulacales; Gonyaulacaceae.
GGGGCCCGAGAAAUCCCGUGUGAAUCUGCCAGGACCACCUGGUAAGCCUAAAUACUACCUGAUGACCGAUAGCGGACCAGUACCGUGAGGGAAAGGUGAAAAGUACCCCGGGAGGGGAGUGAAAUAGUACCUGAAACCGUGUGCCUACAAACCGUCGGAGCCCUACAAGGUGACGGCGUGCCUUUUGAAGAAUGAGCCUGCG